RNAcentral lists this unclassified non-coding RNA (3753 nucleotides) under Hevea brasiliensis (rubber tree). The record is from RNAcentral. Lineage: Eukaryota; Viridiplantae; Streptophyta; Magnoliopsida; Malpighiales; Euphorbiaceae.
UUCAUAGUAAACCGAAUCUCAAUAAGAAUUUCCUUUUCUGAUUGGUACAUUAGUUUACAUCAUUUUAUCUGUGAAAAAUUGAAGAAGGAUGUUUGCAACCAAAAAUGUGAAGAAAGCAACUUUAGGUCUGUUCUAGAACGUGCUGGUUUCACUUGAUCAAUCGAAAACGGGAAGUCAUCAUAAAAUGUUGACAAUGUGCGGCGUAGAUGAUUCCAAUUUCUUUAAUGACUUAACAACAGAGGCACAGAUUGGUUAACCACAUGAUUAUAACACAACAAUGCAGUAAUUUUUAACCAGUACAUAAAAGAAACUUUACUGGAAUCUUCCCCUCCAAUUAAUACGUUACAUGAACUCUUUAGGCCAAAAAUAGAAGAAAAUUGAGAGGGGAAAUGGUAAUUAUUUCCAUAAUAAUCCCCAAAUUGCCUAGCAUCUUCCCACAUCCAGCCCUUCAUGAUCUACCAACCCUAGUAAAAUAUUAAUCUACAAUUCAACCUCAACGGUAUGAAGUUUACCCUCUUCAGGCAAGCCAUCCAAGCUAAAAGUAACCAAUCCAGCUGACGAAUCGUACGCAAAAUCAACCACAUUGGAGUCCACAGUGCAGCUACUUGGUCUCGUAGACGAAUAAACACCAAAGUUGCCACACCCUUUAACCUCCAUGCAAAUUUUACCUACUAUUUCACCACUGCAAUUCUCCACCCUUCCAUCACUCGCAGCACUGUUUUCAUCAAGCUCUGAUAGUUUUGCUCCUUCUUUCACUUCAUACUUAAGCACCUCAAUGGCUCCACCAGCGUUGUACAUGUCAAUGAGCCCAAAAGGUGCGAGGCUAAACCCAGGUGCUAAAACCUUGAUGGGUGUCACAGUGAAGAUGUCAUGCUCAAGGACUUUGAGUGACACCGGCAAGGCUGAAUUAUAAGGGAGAAUGGUAAUUUCACCAGUCCGGUGGCAGUAGACAGCACAGUCACCGUUCCAGUCGGAAUCUGUGGCUGCUUCAGCAAUGAGAUGGACAUCACGGCCCUUGAUGGCUCCAGUUAAAGCAUCAGAGUUGGUUUGGUGGAAAGUAUUCUUCCUUUCAACACUGUUCCACGCCGCACCUUGGCAAUUGUAAACUCCUAGAACUCCUGUAUAUUUGUUCAUGUUCCAUAUCUUCAACAAGCUGACACCAUCACGGGCGGGGUCAGAGAACAAACAGUCACGGGUAGGGCGGCCAGGCAAACGGGCUCGAAGAAUUGAGCCGUCAGGCAGGACCAGCUUCUUCAAUACCUUGAAGUCGUGCUUCCCAGGCUCAUCACUGACAUAGACAGGGCCACCGCUAAUGGCUCUAGCAGAUGCGUGAUAUUCAGCAGCUGGAUGGAGGGAGUGGAACAUAUCCCAAUCAGGCUGCAUAAAUUCUCCUAGAAAAACACUGUUGUAAGCCACUGCAGCAAUGUGGAUGGUAUGUGACACUGGGUCCCGCGGGAAGAAAUCAUCUGACGCUCUCAUCACUGCCGUCUGUUUCGAGCUGUUUCAUGUACCCAACAUUACGCCAAAUAGAAGCUCAAUCAUUGAAUUACUCGAAACAAAGCCUAUCAGUUUUUCAUUCAUGACAAAUUUAGCAAAGAGAUGGAAACUCACCAAUAUAAAGCAUCAGUAUUAUGGCUCAUGCAGGCAAUGCACCCAUUAUCCGGGAAGUUCUUAGCCACAGAUGCAUCAAGAGCCUGAUGAUACUGCCUAGUCAACUCCACCCUUCCUCCCAAACCAGCGCCCAGCGUCUCCAAUAUGCACUGCACGUCCACCUUAACCCCAUCUAUACCCGCAGACGCCAAAUAACUAUGCAACUCAUUGUAAAAUGUGUGCACAUUUUUUGGAUUCACAAGCCCCAAUCCCUGCACUGCCAUUGCAUCAUUCAUCCAUGUUGGUUCAUUCUCUGUCACCCCUUUUGACACCAUCGGAUAUUUCAUCAACGAGUCGUAUCUCUCCAUCUCCUUCACUCCUGGAUGGACCCCACCCCAGUAUCCUGUGAUCGCGUGCCAUACGUAAACGUAUUUCAACCCGUGCUUCUGUUUCGCUAUGUUUACUAUAUUCUUUAUCCCCACCAUUGGAUCAUCUUUCAUUUGGAAUUUCGAAUUUUCUUUGAUCCCAGUCAACCUAAGCAACGGCUGCUGUUUGUUCACUUUUUGAUCGUUGGAUUUGGCUUCCUCUGGUGGGUCACCACCAACUGAUUGCCAUCCGUCGUCAAUGAUCACGAAUUUUGGAAGGGUCCCACCUGCGGCUAAACUCUGAAGCCCAGCCUCGACCCCUUCUUGAGUCACUUCCUGGUAAAACGCGUCCCAGGUGCACCACCCAAAAUAAUCAAUGAUCCCAGGCAAUUUUUUCUCGUGCCGUUGACGGAAAGUUUUCAAGUGCAACUUAACCGCCCUUAUCGCAUCGGUAAUCGUAACAAACGGAUCCGUACCGGCGUGAAUGAACAAAGAAUGUGUAAACGACGACGCUUUGGUGUCCUCAUCACCACUUUCCAAACAAAGCUCGAGCUCAUCGUUCGUGUUCCCCUGUAAACAAGCUCUGAAAGAUCCUUCAAUCAAAGGAAGGAAAACGGUGUAAAUGAUCUGAUUCUCUUCGUUUCCAUCGUCCGAUUCGAGGUGGGACCCAUCCUUAGUCUCAACUAGCAAAAACUGCGUCUCCAGAGGAAUGUCCCUUCCGUGAUCUCCCAUUUUCUGAGCCAUCCACCAAAGCUUGAACCGGAAACAGGCCAUGAACCGGACUUCACGUAAAGUGCCCAGAGGCACCACAUGGCGGCUAUUUACCGCAUCGAAAACUGCUCCAAGAAAGACUCCGUCUACCGGACCUGAGGACGAACCAGAAGUUGUUAUCACAUUGUCCGGUACUCCGGUCACGAUUGUGCGAUCCUUCACGAUUAGUUUCCGAUCUAAGAUUCGAACCGCCGAUUUGAUUGUCAUUGUGUCUAAUUGAUCCUCUUUCUUAAAUGCCGAUAAAGAUAAUGCACGAUGCGAAGAAAACCUGGGAACUAGAAGACAUAGACAAAAGAAUCAAACUUGGUGAGCAACUCAAAAUUUCUCGGAAUCCAAACAAAGAUACAAAGAAAAUAGGGAAAAGAAAAAUACUACAAAGAGAGCGCUGUUUCUUGAUUGUUGUAGUUCUAGUUAAUAAAGGGGAUAAUGAUUGAAUUGAAGGAAAAUGGUAUAGAUGGGUGAAAUUUAUAAGAAGGGAUUGCGGAUUAACACUGGAAGAACAUGAAUUUGAAAUCAUCGUUAUUGUAAAUCUAUGUAAGUAGUGUUAUUGAUUCUGCCCAAUUGUUGAAGGCUUUAUUUGCGGAGCAUAUCUAAUCCUCGGUCGUUGCUUGUUCAAACUGAAGAUUGGACUGCCACAUCAGAUCCAUGCUGUACCAAAUCCAAAAUUUGAGCCUGCACGUUUUAAACCAUUUUUUCUUUCCUGCUUUCAUGCAUUCUUACAUGUGAAAUUUUCGAGAGAAAAUUGCUCCAAAUUUCUUCUUAAUUUUAAGUCUCGAUCGUUUCAGAAGCUGUUUCUCUUUUUAUUUUUCUGCUUUUCUUGAAAUGAAUUGUCGAUGAUGAUGUUGUUGUUGUUGUGUUUGUUUGUUGGUUAAUUUGAAAAAUAUGUGAAUGAAUAUAAUGUUGGGUAGUAAGGAAAAUCCCAGGAGAUUAUAGUAUAGAUGAAGUUGAGAGUGGGGGGGUUAGGGUUGGGGUUCUCUUAUUUAUAUUGGAGGUGUUGUGAUGGGUCUAAAAAACUUUUGAUUCCGGG